RNAcentral lists this small RNA (251 nucleotides) under Pongo abelii (Sumatran orangutan). Its description in RNAcentral is "Metazoan signal recognition particle RNA (ENSPPYG00000035901.1)". The record is from Rfam by way of RNAcentral. Lineage: Eukaryota; Metazoa; Chordata; Mammalia; Primates; Hominidae.
GCUGGGCAAGGUGGUACAUGGCCUAUAGUCUCAUCUACUUGAGAGGCUGAGGCGGGAGGACCGCUUGAGCCCAGGAGGUUGAGUCUGCAAUGAGCCGUGAUACCUCACUGCACUCCAGCCUGGGUGAUGGAGCAAGACUCAUUUCGCUUUUAGAGACGGUGUUGCUCCAUCACCCAGGCUGGGGUGCAGUGGGGUGAUCACGGCUCAUUGUAGCCUCAAUCUCCUGGGCUCAAGUGAUCCUCCUGCUUCAG